AAAUUGCCACAAGCACUCCAGCCUAUGGCGACCAUCACCUCCUGAUCAGUCAGCAGCCAUUAAUAUUGAGUGGUCUGGAACUGAACCUGCAAUAUCUCCAAAGUACGCCUGUACUUAGAAUCAGUCUUGGCAUUUCAGGGCAUUGUGAAUCUUCAUUUAGGUUUAGGAGCAAGAUAAUGGAAUAGAAGCCUACAACAUUUGCUCUCCGACCCCACUGGAAAACCAAAUGACUCUUGGGUUUCCUGACACCAGGCCUAGGUGGUGGGACAGCAUUUCUGGACCUGCCCUGGGAAAGAAGGGAGCUUAACAGUCCUGAAAGGACAGACUAGUUCUCCGUCCCUUGCAGCUCAUGGGCUGAGUUCUGACCAAUGGGAUGUAGACAGAGAUGAUGCGCAAUCUUGAAAGGAUAUUACUCUGUCGCCCAAGCUGAAGUGCAGCGGCAUGACCAUAGCUCAUUGCAGUCUCAACCUCCUGGGUUCAAGUCAUCCCCGUGCCUCAGCCUCCCAAGUAGCUGGGACUGCAGGUGUGUGCCACCACUCCCAGCUAAUCUUUUAUUUUUUGUAGAGGUGGAGUCUCACUAUAUUGUCUAGGCUGAUCUCGAAUUCCUGGGCUCAAGCAAUCCUGCCACCUAGGCCUCCCCAAUUCUGGGAUUACAGACCUGCAAGAUAAGGUUGAAUAGUUGUGUACAGCAUCCUCGCCUCAAAUGGAGAUCUUUCAAAGUGUCACUCUUUAGCAGGAAAGAUUUCUUGCAACCUCAUGAAAGACCUUGACCAGCCAUGACUACCCAUCUAACAUGCUGUCUAAUUCCUGACCUAUGGACACUGAUUUCAAAGAGAGGCUGUUUGCUUGACUGAAGGAAGUGCCUUUUGACAGAAGAUGCAAUUUAUGUUAUAUGAAUGAUAUUUCUGAUGGCCAAAAGGACCUGUGAUAGCCUGAGAGUCAAAGACAAGCAGGAACGCAUCUGUAGUCAAACAAGGUCAGGUUUAUUUAGUGGACUGCAUCAAAUAAGAACACCCCCAAAUAGGAACUUGGGGCACCUCAGUAAUGGAGAUUUCACAGGAGUUGUUUAUAUGUUUGUGCUUGUGCUUGAUAUUCCCAAGGCAGAUAUGGAAUGAAUCCUGGCUUGGAUUGGUUCUUGUCAACAAGGAGGAGCAGGUUAGCAAUCAGAUUCUCGGUAUUCAUUGUUCAGGUGGUGCUGUAUGUCCCCUCCAAAAGCAUGUUGAAAUUUAAUUGCCAAUAUAAUUGUAUUGUGAGGUAGGACCUUUAAGAGGGGUUUGGCUCAUUGAAGCUCCACCCUCAUGAAUAGAUUAAUGUCAUUAUCGUGGGAGUGGGAUUGUUAUCAUGGGAAUGGGCUCCUGAUAAAAGAGUGGUUUCUGCCUGAUCUCCUCUUUCCCUCUCUCGCAUGCUCACUUGCCCUUCCACCAUAUUAUGAUGCAGCAGGAGGGCCCUCACCAGAUGCUGAUAACAUUUUUUUAACUUCUCAGCCCUCAAAACUGUGAAGAAUAAUUUCUUUCUUUUAUACAUCACCUAGUCUGUGCUAUUCUGUUAUAGCAGAAGACAAUAAACUAAGACAGACAUCGGGAAAACAACACGGGCUUGGGGACAUCAUUUAUAAGAAAGUGAUAAUCACUCAGAGAAAAAAAUGAUUAGUCAUAUUUUCAGCUAUAGUGUGGCCUUUUGUAUAAGCACUGUAUACAAAAAUGCUAUAUCCCAUUGGAAGCAUUUUUUUUUUUUUUUGAGAAGGAGUCUCACUCUGUAACUCAGGCUAGAGUGCAGUGGCACGAUCUCGGCUCACUGCAACCUCCUCCUCCUGGGGUCAAGCGAUUCUCCUGCCUCAGCCUCCCGAGUAGCUGGGACUACAGGUGUGCACCACCGGGCCCAGGUAAUUUUUUUGUAUUUUUGGUAGAGACAGGAUUUUACCAUGUUGGCCAGGCUGGUCUCGAACUCCUGACCUUUUCACUUUCUCAAAAAGAAUAUUGUGACACAACCAUGAAGUGAAGAGUUCUAAGAUCCAACAUAGUCUCACUGAGUUGAUGCAUGUUUUUACCUGACUUCUGAUCAUUUUAUAAACAAUUAAAAUAGUACAGCGGGACAGGACCUUAGAAAUUGUCAUUAUAUGUAUGGAGAGCCUGGAGCACAUUCCCAGGGUCUGCCAAGCAGUUUGUGCCAAAAGAAGGAUUAGGACCCAGAUCUCUGACAAUUAGACAAGGAUCCUUCACAGGACAUCUAUUUUCAUCCUGGUACACACACACACACCUGUACCAAUUUCAGGGGUAAAGUAUUUUGCAAGUGAUUUACUACUAAUAAGAGUGAAAAUACUGGAGUGAUUCUCUAUUACUGUUUUCUCACUGUAAAAAUUUCAAGCAUACAAUCAUAAUAAAGUUAUCUCUUUACUUCAAUCUCCUUUCUCAUCUCCAUAUGGAUAAAUAUGUGUAUCUGACUAUUAUAUUAAAGUAAUGAUAUAGUAGUACAUAUUGUUUUGCUGUUGGCUUUUCCCAAUUAAUAACACACUUUGGAUACUGUUCUGUGUCAGUGUCAAUAAAAUCUGUAAACAUAGAUAACAUUAUUUUAUUAUUUUACAAGGUGAAGAUGUCCUUAAUGAUAUUCAAUAUACUUUUCUACAUUUACAGACUAUGUACAUUUUGUAGAUAGAACUUUUUUAUUAAAAUUAACGUUAUUAACCAUUUAUUUAAAAUACUCACAAAUAUUUUUAUUCAAAAAUUAUCUUGAGUAGUAAGGUUAUUGAGAUGCACAAUAAAUGAGCUACGUACUGCUUAUGAGAGAUGGUAGGCCAUUCUUUCUGUGGAUCAUAAGAAAUAUUUUAAAUAAAUAAAUAGUUUGAAU
Molecule: long non-coding RNA, 2844 nt
Filed under: Homo sapiens (human)
Lineage: Eukaryota; Metazoa; Chordata; Mammalia; Primates; Hominidae
Description: HSALNT0281385
Source: RNAcentral